CCUUCCUUAGAGACUAGAUCUGGAGAUAUGCAAAUCUAUCAUUAAUUUCUUGGAACAAAAUUUGAUUCCUCUUUUCUUUGAUGCAUAAUACUGUAAUUCACUCUUGACGGAGAUAUUCAUCUUUUGCUUUGGGCAGCUGUUUGAUUGAUACUCCUUCCUUUCAAGUCUUUUGCUAAGUAUCUUUGAUUAUUUUCUUUUACCCUAAACCUGCAAAAUUGUCAUUCAUUGAAAUUAGACAUUACCAAUCUCCCCAUUUUUGAUGGAUGACGACUUAAAAAAAUAAUGUGUCCGGUUUACCUGUUAGGCUCCCCCGG
Molecule: long non-coding RNA, 314 nt
Filed under: Capsicum annuum
Lineage: Eukaryota; Viridiplantae; Streptophyta; Magnoliopsida; Solanales; Solanaceae
Description: long non-coding RNA (CANN_LNC000850)
Source: RNAcentral